Molecule: microRNA precursor, 97 nt
Filed under: Ailuropoda melanoleuca (giant panda)
Lineage: Eukaryota; Metazoa; Chordata; Mammalia; Carnivora; Ursidae
Description: mir-544 microRNA precursor family
Rfam family: mir-544 microRNA precursor family
Source: Rfam by way of RNAcentral
GUCACCCGGAGAUCUUGUUAAAAUGCAAAUUCUGAUUUGGUAUGCCUGGGACAGGUCCGAGAUUUUGCAUUUUUAACAAGUACCUAGGUGUUCCUGA